GGCAUUGCCCGGUAGCUAAGUGCGGAAGAGAUAACCGCUGAAAGCAUCUAAGCGGGAAACUUGCCUUGAGAUGAGUCUUCCCUGACUCUUUAAGAGUCCUAAAGGAACGUUUAAGACUAAGACGUUGAUAGGUUGGGUGUGUAAGCGUAGCGAUACGUUGAGCUAACCAAUACUAAUGAACCGUGAGGCUUAACCUG
This 197-nucleotide ribosomal RNA is filed under the name Providencia rettgeri. RNAcentral's name for it is "partial 23S ribosomal RNA". It matches the Rfam family "Bacterial large subunit ribosomal RNA", at positions 2734 to 2925 of the family's 2925-position model. Lineage: Bacteria; Pseudomonadati; Pseudomonadota; Gammaproteobacteria; Enterobacterales; Morganellaceae. The record is from RNAcentral.